This 75-nucleotide transfer RNA is filed under the name Podarcis lilfordi (Lilford's wall lizard). RNAcentral describes it as "tRNA.Lys". The stretch from base 10 to 67 matches the Rfam family "tRNA", at positions 8 to 63 of the family's 71-position model. From Rfam's summary of the family: Transfer RNA (tRNA) molecules are approximately 80 nucleotides in length. Their secondary structure includes four short double-helical elements and three loops (D, anti-codon, and T loops). Further hydrogen bonds mediate the characteristic L-shaped molecular structure. tRNAs have two regions of fundamental functional importance: the anti-codon, which is responsible for specific mRNA codon recognition, and the 3' end, to which the tRNAs corresponding amino acid is attached (by aminoacyl-tRNA synthetases). tRNAs cope with the degeneracy of the genetic code in two manners: having more than one tRNA (with a specific anti-codon) for a particular amino acid; and 'wobble' base-pairing, i.e. permitting non-standard base-pairing at the 3rd anti-codon position. The record is from RNAcentral. Lineage: Eukaryota; Metazoa; Chordata; Lepidosauria; Squamata; Lacertidae.
GCCUCAUGAUAGCUCAGUCAGCAGAACAUGAGAUUCUUAAUCUCAAGGUUGUGGGUUCGAGCCCCAUGUUGGGCA